RNAcentral lists this long non-coding RNA (446 nucleotides) under Numida meleagris (helmeted guineafowl). RNAcentral's name for it is "lncRNA (ENSNMEG00000013662.1)". Lineage: Eukaryota; Metazoa; Chordata; Aves; Galliformes; Numididae. The record is from RNAcentral.
AAGCAGUAUGCUGAAGUAUAGCACAAGCAGUCAAAGGCCAUCAUGCAAGCUUCCCUGAUAUUUGUCUGGGGUGAGGACUCAGUGCACAUCUACUGACACUUUGCAACCUCAGGACGUGCCUCUAUGACAUAUUGAUACCUCACUGUUAACACAGAGGUCAAACCAGGGCUCCACAGAAUGUUGUCAAAAAAUGUCUGAAUGUUUCAAUCCAAAGUAAUUUUACCCUAUGAAUUUUGAAGCAGAAGCACCUCAUCAAACACUUGUUGCUUAGCGUUUGACAUGGCAGUCCCUUUUCAGAAGGAAGAAAUUAUGGACGGAGAGGUGCCUGCAAACAAUACAAAUGAAGCCCUAGUCUGAGAGGAGCAGCACGGGAACACAACUGGCAGUCAGUGGACCACAGACUGGGAAAUUGUUUCAGCCUUUUUGGCAGUGAAUAAGAAACAAGA